AUCCUAGCCGUAAACGAUGAUAACUAGCUGUGGGAGGUAUCGACCCCUCCCGUGGCGACGCUAACGCAUUAAGUUAUCCGCCUGGGGAGUACGGCCGCAAGGUUAAAACUCAAAGGAAUUGACGGGGCCCGCACAAGCGGUGGAGCAUGUGGUUUAAUUCGACGCUACGCGAAGAACCUUACCUGGGCUCGAACGACUGGUGGUACCUUAUUUGAAAGGAUGAGGGACCCGCAAGGGAGCCAGCCGAGGUGCUGCAUGGUUGUCGU
Molecule: ribosomal RNA, 266 nt
Filed under: uncultured bacterium
Lineage: Bacteria
Description: partial 16S ribosomal RNA
Rfam family: Bacterial small subunit ribosomal RNA
Source: RNAcentral